AGAGUUUGAUCAUGGCUCAGAUUGAACGCUGGCGGCAGGCCUAACACAUGCAAGUCGAGCGGUAGCACAGAGAGCUUGCUCUCGGGUGACGAGCGGCGGACGGGUGAGUAAUGUCUGGGAAACUGCCUGAUGGAGGGGGAUAACUACUGGAAACGGUAGCUAAUACCGCAUAACGUCGCAAGACCAAAGUGGGGGACCUUCGGGCCUCAUGCCAUCAGAUGUGCCCAGAUGGGAUUAGCUAGUAGGUGGGGUAAUGGCUCACCUAGGCGACGAUCCCUAGCUGGUCUGAGAGGAUGACCAGCCACACUGGAACUGAGACACGGUCCAGACUCCUACGGGAGGCAGCAGUGGGGAAUAUUGCACAAUGGGCGCAAGCCUGAUGCAGCCAUGCCGCGUGUGUGAAGAAGGCCUUCGGGUUGUAAAGCACUUUCAGCGGGGAGGAAGGCGGUGAGGUUAAUAACCUCAUCGAUUGACGUUACCCGCAGAAGAAGCACCGGCUAACUCCGUGCCAGCAGCCGCGGUAAUACGGAGGGUGCAAGCGUUAAUCGGAAUUACUGGGCGUAAAGCGCACGCAGGCGGUCUGUCAAGUCGGAUGUGAAAUCCCCGGGCUCAACCUGGGAACUGCAUUCGAAACUGGCAGGCUAGAGUCUUGUAGAGGGGGGUAGAAUUCCAGGUGUAGCGGUGAAAUGCGUAGAGAUCUGGAGGAAUACCGGUGGCGAAGGCGGCCCCCUGGACAAAGACUGACGCUCAGGUGCGAAAGCGUGGGGAGCAAACAGGAUUAGAUACCCUGGUAGUCCACGCCGUAAACGAUGUCGAUUUGGAGGUUGUGCCCUUGAGGCGUGGCUUCCGGAGCUAACGCGUUAAAUCGACCGCCUGGGGAGUACGGCCGCAAGGUUAAAACUCAAAUGAAUUGACGGGGGCCCGCACAAGCGGUGGAGCAUGUGGUUUAAUUCGAUGCAACGCGAAGAACCUUACCUGGUCUUGACAUCCACAGAACUUUCCAGAGAUGGAUUGGUGCCUUCGGGAACUGUGAGACAGGUGCUGCAUGGCUGUCGUCAGCUCGUGUUGUGAAAUGUUGGGUUAAGUCCCGCAACGAGCGCAACCCUUAUCCUUUGUUGCCAGCGGU
This 1126-nucleotide ribosomal RNA is filed under the name Klebsiella pneumoniae. RNAcentral describes it as "bacterial SSU rRNA". It matches the Rfam family "Bacterial small subunit ribosomal RNA", at positions 8 to 1125 of the family's 1533-position model. Lineage: Bacteria; Pseudomonadati; Pseudomonadota; Gammaproteobacteria; Enterobacterales; Enterobacteriaceae. The record is from RNAcentral.